GACGGAGGGUGCUAGCGUUGUUCGGAAUGACUGGGCGUAAAGGGCGCGUAGGCGGCCUGGUAAGUCGGGUGUGAAAGCCCGGGGCUCAACCCCGGAACGGCACCCGAUACUGCGGGUCUCGAGUCCGGGAGAGGUGAGUGGAAUUCCUAGUGUAGAGGUGAAAUUCGUAGAUAUUAGGAAGAACACCAGUGGCGAAGGCGGCUCACUGGCCCGGUACUGACGCUGAGGCGCGAAAGCGUGGGGAGCAAACAGG
RNAcentral lists this ribosomal RNA (253 nucleotides) under uncultured bacterium. Its description in RNAcentral is "partial 16S ribosomal RNA". It matches the Rfam family "Bacterial small subunit ribosomal RNA", at positions 524 to 776 of the family's 1533-position model. The record is from RNAcentral.